This 420-nucleotide ribosomal RNA is filed under the name Chloroflexota bacterium. Its description in RNAcentral is "Chloroflexi bacterium partial 16S ribosomal RNA". It matches the Rfam family "Bacterial small subunit ribosomal RNA", at positions 355 to 776 of the family's 1533-position model. Lineage: Bacteria; Bacillati; Chloroflexota. The record is from RNAcentral.
UGGGGAAUAUUGCACAAUGGGCGAAAGCCUGAUGCAGCGACGCCGCGUGGGGGAUGAAGGCUUUCGGGUUGUAAACCUCUUUCGCUAUCGAACAAGGCCCGCUUAGGGUGGGUUGAGGGUAGGUGGAGAAGAAGCGCCGGCUAACUACGUGCCAGCAGCCGCGGUCAUACGUAGGGCGCGAGCGUUGUCCGGAAUUAUUGGGCGUAAAGGGCUUGUAGGCGGCUUGUUGCGCCUGCUGUGAAAACGCGGGGCUUAACUUCGCGCGUGCAGUGGGUACGGGCAGGCUUGAGUGGGGUAGGGGUGACUGGAAUUCCAGGUGUAGCGGUGGAAUGCGCAGAUAUCUGGAGGAACAACGAUGGCGAAGGCAGGUCACUGGGCCAUUACUGACGCUGAGGAGCGAAAGCAUGGGUAGCGAACAGG